AUGUGAAUACAUAGCGUAAUGAGGCGAACCGGGGGAACUGAAACAUCUCAGUACCCCGAGGAAAAGAAAUCAACCGAGAUUCCCCUAGUAGCGGCGAGCGAACGGGGAGGAGCCCAGAACCUGAAUCAGUUUGUGUGUUAGUGGAAGCGUCUGGAAAGUCGCACAGUAAAGGGUGAUAGUCCCGUACACAAAAAUGCACAAGUUGUGAGUUCGAUGAGUAGGGCGGGACACGUGACAUCCUGUCUGAAUAUGGGGGGACCAUCCUCCAAGGCUAAAUACUCCUGACUGACCGAUAGUGAACCAGUACCGUGAGGGAAAGGCGAAAAGAACCCCGGCGAGGGGAGUGAAAUAGAACCUGAAACCGUGUACGUACAAGCAGUGGGAGCCUACUUGUUAGGUGACUGCGUACCUUUUGUAUAAUGGGUCAGCGACUUAUAUUCUGUAGCAAGGUUAACCGAAUAGGGGAGCCGCAGGGAAACCGAGUCUUAACUGGGCGUUAAGUUGCAGGGUAUAGACCCGAAACCCGGUGAUCUAGCCAUGGGCAGGUUGAAGGUUGGGUAACACUAACUGGAGGACCGAACCGACUAAUGUUGAAAAAUUAGCGGAUGACUUGUGGCUGGGGGUGAAAGGCCAAUCAAACCGGGAGAUAGCUGGUUCUCCCCGAAAGCUAUUUAGGUAGCGCCUCGUGAAUUCAUCUUCGGGGGUAGAGCACUGUUUCGGCUAGGGGGUCAUCCCGACUUACCAACCCGAUGCAAACUACGAAUACCGAAGAAUGUUAUCACGGGAGACACACGGCGGGUGCUAACGUUCGUCGUGAAGAGGGAAACAACCCAGACCGCCAGCUAAGGUCCCAAAGUCAUGGUUAAGUGGGAAACGAUGUGGGAAGGCACAGACAGCCAGGAUGUUGGCUUAGAAGCAGCCAUCAUUUAAAGAAAGCGUAAUAGCUCACUGGUCGAGUCGGCCUGCGCGGAAGAUGUAACGGGGCUAAACCAUGCACCGAAGCUGCGGCAGCGACACUUAGGUGUUGUUGGGUAGGGGAGCGUUCUGUAAGCCGUUGAAGGUGGCCUGUGAGGGUUGCUGGAGGUAUCAGAAGUGCGAAUGCUGACAUAAGUAACGAUAAUGCGGGUGAAAAACCCGCACGCCGGAAGACCAAGGGUUCCUGUCCAACGUUAAUCGGGGCAGGGUGAGUCGACCCCUAAGGCGAGGCUGAAAAGCGUAGUCGAUGGGAAACAGGUUAAUAUUCCUGUACUCGGUGUUACUGCGAAGGGGGGACGGAGAAAGCUAGGUUAUCCGGGCGACGGUUGUCCCGGUUUAAGCGUGAAGGUGGGUGACUUAGGUAAAUCCGGGUCAUCGUUAACACUGAGGCGUGAUGACGAGUCACUACGGUGAUGAAGUAACCAAUGCUACGCUUCCAGGAAAAGCCUCUAAGCUCCAGGUAACAUCAAAUCGUACCCCAAACCGACACAGGUGGUCAGGUAGAGAAUACUCAGGCGCUUGAGAGAACUCGGGUGAAGGAACUAGGCAAAAUGGUGCCGUAACUUCGGGAGAAGGCACGCUGGCGCGUAGGUGAAGUCCCUUGCGGAUGGAGCUGAAGCCAGUCGCAGAUACCAGCUGGCUGCAACUGUUUAAUAAAAACACAGCACUGUGCAAACACGAAAGUGGACGUAUACGGUGUGACGCCUGCCCGGUGCCGGAAGGUUAAUUGAUGGGGUCAGCCGCAAGGCGAAGCUCUUGAUCGAAGCCCCGGUAAACGGCGGCCGUAACUAUAACGGUCCUAAGGUAGCGAAAUUCCUUGUCGGGUAAGUUCCGACCUGCACGAAUGGCGUAAUGAUGGCCAGGCUGUCUCCACCCGAGACUCAGUGAAAUUGAACUCGCUGUGAAGAUGCAGUGUACCCGCGGCAAGACGGAAAGACCCCGUGAACCUUUACUAUAGCUUGACACUGAACCUUGAGCCUUGAUGUGUAGGAUAGGUGGGAGGCUUUGAAGUGUGGACGCCAGUCUGCAUGGAGCCAACCUUGAAAUACCACCCUUUAAUGUUUGAUGUUCUAACGUAGGCCCGUAAUCCGGGUUGCGGACAGUGUCUGGUGGGUAGUUUGACUGGGGCGGUCUCCUCCCAAAGCGUAACGGAGGAGCACGAA
This 2138-nucleotide ribosomal RNA is filed under the name Pectobacterium parmentieri. RNAcentral describes it as "partial 23S ribosomal RNA". It matches the Rfam family "Bacterial large subunit ribosomal RNA", at positions 156 to 2314 of the family's 2925-position model. Lineage: Bacteria; Pseudomonadati; Pseudomonadota; Gammaproteobacteria; Enterobacterales; Pectobacteriaceae. The record is from RNAcentral.